Molecule: transfer RNA, 92 nt
Filed under: Acidobacteriota bacterium
Lineage: Bacteria; Pseudomonadati; Acidobacteriota
Description: tRNA-Ile
Rfam family: tRNA
About the family: Transfer RNA (tRNA) molecules are approximately 80 nucleotides in length. Their secondary structure includes four short double-helical elements and three loops (D, anti-codon, and T loops).
Source: RNAcentral
CGGGGCGUAGCUCAAUGGUAGAGCAGCCGGCUUAUACCCGGUGUUAACGGCUGAUUACCGUAAGGAUGUAGGUUCAAGUCUUGCCGCCCCGA